GACCUAGAAAUGUUGAAGCAUAACGCGACUCCAUUGUCAAAUUUCCUUCAAUUUCAUUUUAAGGCGAAUAAUCAUCUAUUUUCCUUAGCGCGAAUCUCCUCUUCAAGCAGCAGUCACUCCCAGUCUAAGAUGGAGACAGCUUCUUAUAUGUUUGGGCCAUACAAGAUUCACAAUAAAGAAGUCUUUUAUUCCACUCAUUUCUCUUAUGCCUUGGUCAACCUCCGACCCCUUCUUCCUGGUCAUGUGCUUGUCUGCCCAAGGCGUGAAGUAAAACGCUUUGCUGAGCUUACUACUGAUGAGACUAGCGACUUGUGGCUUACAGCACAAAAAGUUGGCAAGCAACUUGAGUCAUACCACAAGGCGUCUUCUCUUACAUUUGCAAUCCAAGAUGGACCCCAGGCAGGACAGACAGUUCCGCAUGUUCAUAUUCACAUCAUCCCACGGAAAAGUGGCGAUUUUGAAAAGAAUGAUGAGAUUUAUGAUGCUUUGGACGUGAAGGAGAAAGAGAUGAAGCAGUCACUUGAUUUGGACAAGGAAAGGAAAGACAGAAGCAUUGAGGAGAUGGCUGAAGAGGCAGAUGAAUAUAGAAAACUUUUCCAUUGAAGAAGCAGAUGAAACUUUUCUUGUGAUUGGGCUUACAUCAUCUCAUUAUUACUCUCUUAGAGUCUUAACUGUUGGGCAAGUGCUUUGUUAAUCUGUUGUGGAUUCCUUAUAAACUAUAUGUGAUAUAAUUGAAGCUGUUGCUGUUUUCUUCUAUACUCAAAUUCUUU
RNAcentral lists this unclassified non-coding RNA (770 nucleotides) under Hevea brasiliensis (rubber tree). The record is from RNAcentral. Lineage: Eukaryota; Viridiplantae; Streptophyta; Magnoliopsida; Malpighiales; Euphorbiaceae.